Molecule: long non-coding RNA, 296 nt
Filed under: Anas platyrhynchos platyrhynchos (common mallard)
Lineage: Eukaryota; Metazoa; Chordata; Aves; Anseriformes; Anatidae
Description: lncRNA (ENSAPLG00000027733.1)
Source: RNAcentral
AUGCGACUGAGUCUCAAAGCAUUUGCUUUCAGCCGCAGAGAGAAGAAGCUGCCCAAGAAUGGAAAGGAAGAAAUAUAUCACAUCAUCUGUCUGUCCACAGGCUUUCCUUUGGGCUUAUGGAGAUUUCCUAGUGGUAAUUAUUUCCCAUUGACUCAGACCAAAGGACGGUGUGGACACCUCACAAACAGUAAGUUUAUGCCUUGUUUUUGUUAUUUAUAUUUCAUGAUUGACCUGGAGAAGAUUAAAAUGUUUGAUUAAUUGCAGAUUCUAUAUUGUAAGUAUUAAUGCUGUAUAAC